UGCUGGCGGCAGCUACCAUGCAGUCGAGCGGUAACAGGGGUAGCUUGCUACCCGCUGACGAGCGGCGGACGGGUGAGUAAUGCAUAGGAAUCUGCCCGAUAGUGGGGGAUAACCUGGGGAAACCCAGGCUAAUACCGCAUACGUCCUACGGGAGAAAGGGGGCUUCGGCUCCCGCUAUUGGAUGAGCCUAUGUCGGAUUAGCUAGUUGGUGAGGUAAUGGCUUACCAAGGCAACGAUCCGUAGCUGGUCUGAGAGGAUGAUCAGCCACAUCGGGACUGAGACACGGCCCGAACUCCUACGGGAGGCAGCAGUGGGGAAUAUUGGACAAUGGGGGCAACCCUGAUCCAGCCAUGCCGCGUGUGUGAAGAAGGCCCUCGGGUUGUAAAGCACUUUCAGCGAGGAAGAACGCCUAUCGGUUAAUACCCGGUAGGAAAGACAUCACUCGCAGAAGAAGCACCGGCUAACUCCGUGCCAGCAGCCGCGGUAAUACGGAGGGUGCAAGCGUUAAUCGGAAUUACUGGGCGUAAAGCGCGCGUAGGUGGCUUGAUAAGCCGGUUGUGAAAGCCCCGGGCUCAACCUGGGAACGGCAUCCGGAACUGUCAGGCUAGAGUGCAGGAGAGGAAGGUAGAAUUCCCGGUGUAGCGGUGAAAUGCGUAGAGAUCGGGAGGAAUACCAGUGGCGAAGGCGGCCUUCUGGACUGACACUGACACUGAGGUGCGAAAGCGUGGGUAGCAAACAGGAUUAGUCCCU
Molecule: ribosomal RNA, 750 nt
Filed under: Vreelandella titanicae
Lineage: Bacteria; Pseudomonadati; Pseudomonadota; Gammaproteobacteria; Oceanospirillales; Halomonadaceae
Description: bacterial SSU rRNA
Rfam family: Bacterial small subunit ribosomal RNA
Source: RNAcentral